GAAGAAAUCCUGAAGCUUCAUGUACUUGUGCUGAUUCUAAAGAGCUCUCUGACCCGAGCAGUGGAUUCUGAAAUCCUGCAUUGUUUUCUGCUUGCUGGAAAUUCUCACUACCUGAAUGGGAGUCUGUAUUAAGAAAUUAAGGGAGAGCUGGAAUUUCUAUUGUGGUUCAUAUGGAUUAACAUAAAAAUAUACUGGGAAUAUAUAUAUAGAAAACAAAUGCAUGUAUUUUUAUUUUAAAUCCAUAAAUAACUGAGCCGCUUUUACCAUGCUUGGUAAUUAAAACAUUCUGAUGUCAUUUGAUUGUAUUUUCCAGAGCAGCUUUUCAUCAGAUUCUCUUUUUCAAUGAGAGUGCUACUACUGACCUGAGAUUUUUUGGAAGAUAUUUGAAGUGACACAAAGAGAUAAACCUCAAACCAGUACAGUCUGGACUGUUUGAGAGCAGCAACAACACCUACAGAGCUCUCAAGAUGACUGAAGACCUUCUCUGAUGCAUCUGAUCCGUGGGGUAGGUACAUUUCAAUGAGAACAUUUCACUCUUUAUUAAAUGAGGCUUUGGGUUUUACAUGAAGUUUGUUAUUGCCUCCAAAAACUGAUAGAGACCAACUGCAAGAUGCAAGCAUGCAAACUGUUCUGUCAUGGCAGCGUGCUGAAAAAUAGCCACAAGCAGCCCCGGUUGGUGUGUCCAGCAGCAGGUGGAUCACACUCCUUCUGUUGGCUUGGCUUCACCCAACAAGAAGGGCUGGGAAGAGGCACAGGCUGUGACACCCUACUCCCCAGCACACCGGAGUUGGAUCCUGCCCUGCUCUCAGAGAACCAGAGAACCUGUGUCUGGUGCUCUUGGGCUGUUGUUCAUAUUGUUUUGGUCUCAGCUGAGCUAUUUCUAACAACGAAAAACAUAUUGGAGAGAGUUACAAUUUGCUGUAAUCAUAUUUUUCCAGUUUUUCUCUGUGAUAAUUACUCCCAUAAAUAUCGUUGCUUUACCUCAGCUCAGCAGAGUGCUCCCUGUCUCUGUGCUCAGCCACAGCCUCCCAGGCCCUUGCUGUGGUGGAAGGAUGAUGGCAGUGUUUGUUAUUGCUGUGACCAACCGAGGUUCCUCCAUCGAGAGAACCCCUUCAGCUCCCCAAUUCUCCCCCUAACCUAGCACCCGAGACCCCCGGAAUUUCCAGGUAACCCUUACCUGCUCCCACAUGACACCGUAGGGCUAAAGACAAAGCAGCUCGAGGCAGCGCUGCACCUGGAGCUGAGUGCUUGCGGUUCAGCCAGGCACCUGCGCUGCUUCCCAUUUCCGCUGCUGGAGAUCUGCCCGUCUCCCACCGCCGGGCCGGGUGGGGACGUAGGUGCGCGGCGGCGGCCCCGUUCAGCCGGA
Coturnix japonica (Japanese quail) is the source of this 1366-nucleotide long non-coding RNA. Lineage: Eukaryota; Metazoa; Chordata; Aves; Galliformes; Phasianidae. The record is from Ensembl.